GACGAACGCUGGCGGCGUGCUUAACACAUGCAAGUCGAACGGUAAGGCCCUUCGGGGUACACGAGUGGCGAACGGGUGAGUAACACGUGGGUGAUCUGCCCUGCACUUCGGGAUAAGCCUGGGAAACUGGGUCUAAUACCGGAUAGGACUCCUGGCUUCAUGGUUGGGGGUGGAAAGCUUUUGCGGUGUGGGAUGGGCCCGCGGCCUAUCAGCUUGUUGGUGGGGUAAUGGCCUACCAAGGCGACGACGGGUAGCCGGCCUGAGAGGGUGACCGGUCACACUGGGACUAAGAUACGGCCCAGACUCCUACGGGGGGCAGCAGUGGGGAAUAUUACACAAUGGGCGCAAGCCUGAUGCAGCGACGCCGCGUGAGGGAUGACGGCCUUCGGGUUGUAAACCUCUUUCAGCUAUGACGAAGCGCAAGUGACGGUAGUAGCAGAAGAAGGACCGGCCAACUACGUGCCAGCAGCCGCAGUAA
This 478-nucleotide ribosomal RNA is filed under the name uncultured bacterium. RNAcentral describes it as "partial 16S ribosomal RNA". It matches the Rfam family "Bacterial small subunit ribosomal RNA", at positions 28 to 523 of the family's 1533-position model. The record is from RNAcentral.